UCUAAUAUGGCAGAUUAGUGCCUUGGAUUUAAGUCCCAAAUAUAAAAUAUAUAUCUAUAUUUUUUUUAGAA
This 71-nucleotide transfer RNA is filed under the name Curculionidae sp. 3 AH-2016. RNAcentral describes it as "tRNA-Leu". Lineage: Eukaryota; Metazoa; Arthropoda; Insecta; Coleoptera; Curculionidae. The record is from RNAcentral.